Molecule: long non-coding RNA, 562 nt
Filed under: Salmo salar (Atlantic salmon)
Lineage: Eukaryota; Metazoa; Chordata; Actinopteri; Salmoniformes; Salmonidae
Description: lncRNA (ENSSSAG00000110255.1)
Source: RNAcentral
CAUAAAUAUAAAUAAAUAAAAUAAGACUCCAGUCACCCAAGUCAUAGACUCUUCUCUCUGCUACCGCACAGCAAGCGGUACCGGAGCGCCAAGUCUAGGACCCAAAAGGCUCUUUAGCAGCUUCUACCUCCAAGCCGUAAGACUGAUGAACAAUUAAUGAAAUGGCCACCCGGACUAUUUACAUUGGUUUAGUUUUUACACUGUUGCUACUCACUGUUUAUUAUCUAUGCAUAGUCACUUUACAAAUUACCUCGACCCACGCACACUGACUCGGUACAGGUACCCGUACCCCUGUAUAUAGCCUCGUUAUUGGUAUGUAAUUUCCUUGUAACUUUUUAUUUAUUUAAAAAAAAAGAUAUACUUUAGUUUAUUUACUAUAUAUUUUCUUAACUCUAUUUCUUGAACUGCAUUGUUGGUUAAGGGCUUGUAAAGCAUUUCACUGUAAGGUCUACUACACCUGUUGUAUUCAGCAUUUCACUGUGAGGUCUACUACACCUGUUGUAUUCAGCAUUUCACUGUGAGGUCUACUACACCUGUUGUAUUCAGCAUUUCACUGUGAGGU